Felis catus (domestic cat) is the source of this 3217-nucleotide RNA transcript. It is a transcript of the gene named adipogenin, with no coding region annotated. NCBI's taxonomy places the organism in Eukaryota, Metazoa, Chordata, Mammalia, Carnivora, Felidae. The transcript has 4 exons. The record is from RefSeq and is a predicted model, not a curated record.
GGCUCUGAGCCAUCAGCCCAGAACCUGACACGGGGCUCGAACUCACGGACCGCGAGAUCGUGACCUGGCUGAAGUCGGACGCUUAACCGACUGCGCCACCCAGGCGCCCCUGUGUUAGGAUGUUUUUAAAUGGCAGCCCAGUGACCCAGGCUGGCUCAGCAGACUUGUUUGGUUUAGCCAACCAUGUUUUAAAUGCUUGAUGCAACAUUUUUAAGUUGGGAGAGUUCACAUAAAAAUGCAGAUUUGGGGGGCUCUCUUGGAAUAGAUGUGGCAAUACUGGACCUGCCUUUCCCACACAGCACUUAACUGGCUGAAGCUGUGACAGCUGCCUGCUUUAGAUGCACCACGUUCCACCCAGUCUGCCACCCCCCCCCCCCCCCCCCCCCGCCAGCAGGUGCAGAUGUGGGCACCUGUAGCCCGGAUGACAGGGCCUGGGAUCCGGCUGGCUCCUGAAGGAACCUGUGACCUCAAAAUACAUGAACACCCACCCGAGGGCGAUGCUCAUCCCAUCGUUUAUUCUGAUUUUUAGCAGCUUGGUGAGAUGAGAAUUGUUUCCAUCUUCUAAGAGGAUGCAAGGAGGUGUCCCAUGAACCCCUAGGAUCUCAGCAGGAAUUCAAACCCAAGUCGGCCUGCCUGGAAGCCUGGGCUUUUGUUCUUAGCCAGACCGUCUCCACUGCCACUGACUGCCAAGCUCUCCUUGUGUCUGAAGGACGUUGUGACUUCCUUGUUACGUCACCCACUCAGUCACAGUUGGGCUGAGAGCAGAGUGUGGCCCGGCCCCCCAGGUCCCCAGGGCAGCCCUGCCAGCCCGGCACAGGCAGGCCCGGCUUAGCCACACGCGCACCAUGAAGUACCCGCUGGUGCCACUGGUGGACGACCUCACGUUUUCUUUCCUGGUGUUCUGGCUCUGCCUGCCCGUGGGCUUGCUGUUGGUCUUGCUGAUUGUCUGGCUACGCUUCUUACUUAGCCAAGAAUAACCCUGUGAAGUAACCCUUAUCGUACAAUUGAGGAAACUGAGGCUUGGGGAGAGAAGCAACGUGCCCAGGUCACACACCUGUGAAGUGCUUACGAGUGCCGGUUAUCUGGCGUCACCUCCUGCCUCUGCUGCCUACCAGCUCUGUGACUUGGGGCAAGUCCUCUCAGCCUUGGGUUCCUCAUCGACGGAAUGGAGAUAAUAAGGGGCCCUUCCAUUUGGGGCUGUGGAGAGAGCAUGUCGAGGGUAGGGGAUCCAGCACACACGUGGCACAUAGUAGGUGCUUAUAGGCUGAGAAACUAUCCAGUCAGUGUUUGCUUUUCGUCAUGGUAGGAGGACGUGUAGGCACGGCUUUGGAUGGCUCCUCCGAGGAGAGUCAUCUGCCUAAGGUCUCCGAGGAGAGUGCUCCUGUCUAAGGUCUAGGGCACUAAUCUCCAGCACUCCAUUCUCCUUGAAGGCCCUGCUCUAAAACCAUCCACAGCCUUCCCUGUCCUCAGACUUUCUCCGACAUCUCACACGGCCCCUUGCAAUAAGGCCUUUGGUCAUUUGCAGUGACCGGAAUGUGGGGCGAGCUGUCUUCCCGCAGGGUCCCAGUCUUCUUGGAACUCUUAGAGUUACUGCGUCGGUCCUGUCCUUGUGCCAGGGUCUGGACCUGCCAAGAAUUGAGGGACCUGUUCUCAGGACACCCUGGCCUAUUCUGCUGUGGAUCUUGUUAUCGGAACUCGUUUGGCCUGGCAUCCAGUGUGAAAAGCAGACAGGACUGGCUCUGAUUCCUCCUUCCCACCCCCAUCCGGCCUGGCUCAGCAGGGCAGUGCCAGGGCCCAGAAGGCAGACGGUUUGAGCAGGGAGUGCCACGUGGCCCGUGAGGACGAGCCUUCUCAAGUAGACAGGGGAACAAGGGGAGGAGAAGGGGAACCGCCUGGCAAGAUGGCCGUUGAGGCGAGAAAAUGUUGUGGGUGGCUGAGCCCUGCAGAAGCUGGCCAGUGGGGACAACACUAAUCCUGGACCAUGACAUUAAGGAGAGGAUGAAGCCACAUGGUGCCCUUCAAGCGGAAGGUGCUCUGCUGAGGACGUUUCCUUUGUGAUUGGAAAGGACUUUGCAGAAAGAAGAGAAACCUCCAAAGAGAUGGAUUUAAGGCCGAAAUGCGCCUUUUGAGGGUCCUGCCCACCCUCGUGGUGGUCCUCGGAGCGAGGUGUUAAAUCCAAAGCUACCUUUGAAUUCCCUGACCUCAAACAAGUGCACCUGCUGGAACUGCGGAGGGCUCUCUUCAGCCUCCUUUACUUUUCUGCAACCAGCGAAACAUCUUACAAGUACAGGAAGAGAAAGAAUCUCCCCCAUCUCCUCUCCUUUCUCCUCGACCUCACCUUCUCGAGGCAAGCCGUGUUCACAAGCUCAUGCUCCUAUUUAAUAACACACGUAGGUUUUCCAAAAACUUGGAGAGGGGGCAGGAUGGUUAGCUUGGUUUUCAGAAAAAGGGAGGAGAUCCUCCUAUAUACAUUUCUCUGAAACUUGCUUGUAAUGUAUCAUAGACCUCCUGCAAAUCGAAAGCUACAGAUUUCAUGCAAUUGUUUUAACAGCUUCUGACUUGCUAUUGGAUAGAUGGGCCAGCUCUUUAUGCGGUGCAAUGUGCUACACUUCAGUCAACCAGAUCUCUCAUGGUAGACACACACACACACACACACACACACACACACACACAGUUUCCAGGGUGUUUUAUUACUUGUGCAUGCUUCACCACAAAACAGUGCUGCAGUGGAAAUCAUUGCAUGUAUACACUCAGAUAUUUGUUAAUAAAUGGACUGGUGGACAAAUGGAUGGAUGGGUCGUUGUUGGAUUUGUGUCUCUUCAGUGCCGUUCUUGGACCACACCCAAUACAGAUUUAGAGGAAGACAACUCAGAUUUAUGCUUUGAGUGGGAGCCCUGGAGCAAAGGCCCAGCCCAGUUUUGCUGGGAGGGGACACUGUAUAGCCAAGAGGAGGAGGAGCCCUGCUGGUGAGCCUUUUCAGCCAGAGCCAACCUUCCAUGUUUCUCCAGCCUGGUUUUCCUGGAGUCAGCAGGGCGGUGGCAGUGGCCAAGGUGGAUGGGAGAGACCCACUGGGGAGGGAAGAAGACUGCCAAGGGAGGCUCUUCCCUGGGAUCCCCGACUCAUCUCCUCCAUCAGUGGACACACAAAAGCCUCCAAAGGACCCUGCUCUUCGCCCACUACAGACGACCUCCCAGGGUCCCCGGGGAGGAGCCCGAGU